GGGGAAUCUUGCGCAAUGGGCGAAAGCCUGACGCAGCCAUGCCGCGUGAAUGAUGAAGGUCUUAGGAUUGUAAAAUUCUUUCACCGGGGACGAUAAUGACGGUACCCGGAGAAGAAGCCCCGGCUAACUUCGUGCCAGCAGCCGCGGUAAUACGAAGGGGGCUAGCGUUGCUCGGAAUUACUGGGCGUAAAGGGCGCGUAGGCGGACAUUUAAGUCAGGGGUGAAAUCCCAGAGCUCAACUCUGGAACUGCCUUUGAUACUGGGUGUCUUGAGUGUGAGAGAGGUAUGUGGAACUCCGAGUGUAGAGGUGAAAUUCGUAGAUAUUCGGAAGAACACCAGUGGCGAAGGCGACAUACUGGCUCAUUACUGACGCUGAGGCGCGAAAGCGUGGGGAGCAAACA
RNAcentral lists this ribosomal RNA (401 nucleotides) under uncultured Brevundimonas sp. Its description in RNAcentral is "bacterial SSU rRNA". It matches the Rfam family "Bacterial small subunit ribosomal RNA", at positions 356 to 774 of the family's 1533-position model. Lineage: Bacteria; Pseudomonadati; Pseudomonadota; Alphaproteobacteria; Caulobacterales; Caulobacteraceae. The record is from RNAcentral.